GACGUAGGGUGCAAGCGUUAUCCGGAUUCACUGGGUUAAAGGUGCGUAGGUGGCUUGUAAGUCAGUGGUGAAAUCUCCGGGCUUAACUCGGAAACUGCCAUUGAUACUAUAGGUCUUGAAUUAUCUGGAGGUCAGCGGAAUAUGUCAUGUAGCGGUGAAAUGCUUAGAUAUGACAUAGAACACCAAUGCGAAGGCAGCUG
This 200-nucleotide ribosomal RNA is filed under the name uncultured bacterium. RNAcentral describes it as "partial 16S ribosomal RNA". It matches the Rfam family "Bacterial small subunit ribosomal RNA", at positions 524 to 727 of the family's 1533-position model. The record is from RNAcentral.